GAUGAACGCUGGCGGCGUGCCUAAUACAUGCAAGUCGAGCGAACGGACGAGAAGCUUGCUUCUCUGAUGUUAGCGGCGGACGGGUGAGUAACACGUGGAUAACCUACCUAUAAGACUGGGAUAACUUCGGGAAACCGGAGCUAAUACCGGAUAAUAUUUUGAACCUCAUGGUUCAAAAGUGAAAGACGGUCUUGCUGUCACUUAUAGAUGGAUCCGCGCUGCAUUAGCUAGUUGGUAAGGUAACGGCUUACCAAGGCAACGAUGCAUAGCCGACCUGAGAGGGUGAUCGGCCACACUGGAACUGAGACACGGUCCAGACUCCUACGGGAGGCAGCAGUAGGGAAUCUUCCGCAAGGGGCGAAAGCCUGACGGAGCAACGCCGCGUGAGUGAUGAAGGUCUUCGGAUCGUAAAACUCUGUUAUUAGGGAAGAACAUAUGUGUAAGUAACUGUGCACAUCUUGACGGUACCUAAUCAGAAAGCCACGGCUAACUACGUG
This 497-nucleotide ribosomal RNA is filed under the name uncultured bacterium. RNAcentral describes it as "partial 16S ribosomal RNA". It matches the Rfam family "Bacterial small subunit ribosomal RNA", at positions 28 to 507 of the family's 1533-position model. The record is from RNAcentral.